AAAAACACAAAGCCUGUUGAAACAUUUUCAGUAUCCAAAUAUACAAAAUUUUCUGAAACACAUCCCUUCUACCAGUUUCUAACAAUGCAUGUCUUCCAGAAAGAAUCUCUCUUUCAUGCAGCUAUGGCUUGUAGUUCAGAUGCAUAAUUCCUCAGAACUAAACAGAGUUCAAGGCAAAAUUUUGUUUCAAACACCAACAAUGGCGUUGUAAGUACCAUAACCAGCAAAUAGCAAUCCACCUACCAAAAAGCAAUAAUCUAAGGCUUUC
This 268-nucleotide unclassified non-coding RNA is filed under the name Hevea brasiliensis (rubber tree). Lineage: Eukaryota; Viridiplantae; Streptophyta; Magnoliopsida; Malpighiales; Euphorbiaceae. The record is from RNAcentral.